UACGUAGGGUGCGAGCGUUGUCCGGAAUUAUUGGGCGUAAAGGGCUCGUAGGCGGUUUGUCGCGUCGGGAGUGAAAUCCACUGGCUUAACUGGUGGCUUGCUUUCGAUACGGGCAGACUGGAGGUAUGCAGGGGAGAACGGAAUUCCUGGUGUAGCGGUGAAAUGCGCAGAUAUCAGGAGGAACACCGGUGGCGAAGGCGGUUCUCUGGGCCUUACCUGACGCUGAGGUAGCGAAAGCGUGGGGAGCGAACAGG
RNAcentral lists this ribosomal RNA (254 nucleotides) under uncultured bacterium. RNAcentral's name for it is "partial 16S ribosomal RNA". It matches the Rfam family "Bacterial small subunit ribosomal RNA", at positions 524 to 776 of the family's 1533-position model. The record is from RNAcentral.